CCCUUAGAUGUUCUGGGCUGCACGCGCGCUACACUGAUGCGCUCAACGAGUUUAUGAACUUGCCCGGAAGGGUUGGUUAAUCUUUUUAAAACGCAUCGUGAUGGGGAUAGAUUAUUGCAAUUAUUAGUCUUGAACGAGGAAUUCCUAGUAAGCACAAGUCAUCAGCUUGUGUUGAUUACGUCCCUGCCCUUUGUACACACCGCCCGUCGCUCCUACCGAUUGAAUGUUCCGGUGAGCUCUUCGGACUGCGCGGUCUGCAGUUUCUGCGUUCCGUGCGGAAAGUUGCGCAAACCUUAACAUUUAGAGGAAGGAGAAGUCGUAACA
RNAcentral lists this ribosomal RNA (324 nucleotides) under uncultured eukaryote. RNAcentral describes it as "partial 18S ribosomal RNA". It matches the Rfam family "Eukaryotic small subunit ribosomal RNA", at positions 1470 to 1796 of the family's 1831-position model. The record is from RNAcentral.